CUUGCUUUCUUUGCUGGCGACCGGCGCACGGGUGAGUAACACGUAUCCAACCUGCCCUUUACUCGGGGAUAGCCUUUCGAAAGAAAGAUUAAUACCCGAUAGCAUAAUGAUUCCGCAUGGUUUCAUUAUAAAGGAUUCCGGUAAAGGAUGGGGAUGCGUUCCAUUAGUUUGUUGGCGGGGUAACGGCCCACCAAGACUACGAUGGAUAGGGGUUCUGAGAGGAAGGUCCCCCACAUUGGAACUGAGACACGGUCCAA
RNAcentral lists this ribosomal RNA (257 nucleotides) under uncultured bacterium. RNAcentral's name for it is "partial 16S ribosomal RNA". It matches the Rfam family "Bacterial small subunit ribosomal RNA", at positions 75 to 334 of the family's 1533-position model. The record is from RNAcentral.